AAAAAAUAAGUUUAUGAAGGAGAUAUAUUGAAAAGAAAAAGAAAAAGAAAAGAAAAAAAAAUACAAUGAUCGAAUAUAUGACAGCCAGAGAAAAACUCGAAUCUUGUAGUUUCAUAAAGGAAAUUAGUGAUUGAUGUUGGAUGUUGGCGAAGAAUUUAGUGACAAGCUUGGAACCCUAAGUUACAGGGAGGGUCCAAUCGAGAAUCCACAGAGGUGGUAAACACCAACUCAUUCUUUGAUAGCCCCAUUAACUAGAGAGUGCAGAAAAGUAAUGUGAGCCAAGAUUUUCUUUUGUGGCAUAUCAAAAAGAUUGUAAGAAUUGAAAAGAACGAUUUCAAUUUUAGUAUGAGAAUAUUUUAGUAUGCAAAUUUAUACUCUCUUUUGGGUUCAAUUGCUAGCUUGAAAAUGACCUUAUAUUCA
RNAcentral lists this long non-coding RNA (420 nucleotides) under Jatropha curcas. RNAcentral describes it as "long non-coding RNA (JCUR_LNC002981)". Lineage: Eukaryota; Viridiplantae; Streptophyta; Magnoliopsida; Malpighiales; Euphorbiaceae. The record is from RNAcentral.